This is an RNA transcript of Rhodamnia argentea, 999 nucleotides long. It is a transcript of the gene named protein CURVATURE THYLAKOID 1B, chloroplastic, with no coding region annotated. The record is from RefSeq and is a predicted model, not a curated record. The transcript is spliced from 6 exons. NCBI's taxonomy places the organism in Eukaryota, Viridiplantae, Streptophyta, Magnoliopsida, Myrtales, Myrtaceae.
CUCGACCCGUCUCUCUCUCUCUCUCUCGUUUGCUUUUUGCUUUUUCGUGAGCAGGGGGGCGGAGUUCGACUCUUGGCAAAAGAAGAAGAUGGCGUCGACCAGCACAUCCUCGUCCUCCUCCGCACUGUCUACGCUUGUGGUGGACGGCAAGGCCCCUCGUCAACCUCAGCCCCAGAAGAGCUUGACCGCCCUCCUCACCUCCCUUCCCCCUCCCCCUGCUCUCCACUCUCCCCCUCUUUCUUCUGCUUCCGCUUAUUGUCGUAAGAUUGCGCGCAAUGUGGCGGCUAUGGCUACUGGUGAGGUUCCUGCCGAAGUCGCCGCCGCCGAGCUCCCUGAGAUUCUCAAAUCCGCCAAAGAAGCUUGGGACAAAGUGGAAGAUAAGUACGCCGUCAGUUCGCUGGCGGUCGCUGGUGCGGUUGCCGUCUGGGCCUCUUCCGGAAUGAUCUCGGCGAUCGAUAGGCUUCCCCUCAUUCCUGGCAUUCUUGAGCUGGUGGGCAUUGGAUAUACUGGGGUGAGUUCAUCAGGCUUCCAAAAUCUGCUUCUUUAGUCUGCCCCUUCCCCCAGAAGGAGCAUAAUUACCUUCGUUCUGAACAGUUUAUGAUUGUGAUGCUACUGUCCUGAGAGCGAUCUAACAGCUUAUGACAUCAGUGGUUUGCAUACAAGAACCUUGUUUUCAAACCAGAUAGGGAAGCUCUAUUUUGGAAAAUCAAGGAUAUAUACAGUGAGGUUACUGGAAGCAGCUGAAACAGUGGUUGCUGGUGAGAGGUGCAAUAUUCCCUGUUUCUGCAAUUGGAAUGAGCAGAGCACAUUUCGGCAUCAACAACCUUAGACCAGAGCUAUUUCCUGUAACGUUCUUCGAAUAUUUCUUAUUAUAGUCCCCACCAAUAUUCGUAAACUUUUGGCAUUUGUAAAUUCCAAGCACCGGAAAUGAUCUAGUCUUAUUGCACUGAUGUAACGAGGAAGGGCUAUCUUCAGCAAUAAACUAUAGCAUUCAUCUAA